This 326-nucleotide long non-coding RNA is filed under the name Marmota monax (woodchuck). Lineage: Eukaryota; Metazoa; Chordata; Mammalia; Rodentia; Sciuridae. The record is from RNAcentral.
GCUCCGCCCGCCUCGGUGCCAGCCGAGCGCACAGGCGGCUGGCGCGUGGCUCAGGGCGCCCUUUCCUCCGGCCGCCCGGCUCAGCGGAGUAGCUGGGACCGGGAAGCGGCUGCAAGGACUUCCCUCCUGCUCCCUCCCCCUCUCCGCCCCCGCCUCCCGGCCCCGGCUCGAGAUCUCGCCGAAGACAAUUGCAGUAAAUGAGGACAUCGGAGGAGCACGGAGCCGGGUGGCUGUGGCUGGCUCCGCCGCGCCGCGAGCGAGCGAGCGCGCGGGCGUCCCCGGAGCCGGCCGAGCCGCUGCCUCCCCGCGCGCGUCGCUGAGCGGGG